GAUGAAGAACGCAGCAAAAUGCGAUACGUAGUGUGAAUUGCAGAAUUCAGUGAAUCAUCGAAUCUUUGAACGCACAUUGCGCCCUUUGGUAUUCCAAAGGGCAUGCCUGUUCGAGCGUCAUUUGUACCCUCAAGCUUUGCUUGGUGUUGGGCGUCUUGUCUCCAGUCCGCUGGAGACUCGCCUUAAAGUCAUUGGCAGCCGGCCUACUGGUUUCGGAGCGCAGCACAAGUCGCACUCUUUUCCAGCCAAGGUCAGUGUCCAACAAGCCUUUUUUCAACUUUUGACCUCGGAUCAGGUAGGGAUACCCGCUGAACUUAAGCAUAUCAAUAAGCGGAGGA
Molecule: unclassified non-coding RNA, 338 nt
Filed under: soil metagenome
Description: partial contains 5.8S ribosomal RNA, internal transcribed spacer 2, and large subunit ribosomal RNA
Rfam family: 5.8S ribosomal RNA (bases 1-120)
Source: RNAcentral